This 406-nucleotide ribosomal RNA is filed under the name uncultured bacterium. Its description in RNAcentral is "partial 16S ribosomal RNA". It matches the Rfam family "Bacterial small subunit ribosomal RNA", at positions 30 to 526 of the family's 1533-position model. The record is from RNAcentral.
AUUGAACGCUGGCGGCCGGCCUAACACAUGCAAGUCGAACGAGUGGCGGACGGGGGAGUAAUGUCUGGGAAACUGCCUGAUGGAGGGGGAUAACUACUGGAAACGGUUGCUAAUACCGCAUACCAUCAAAUGUGUCCAGAUGGGAUUAGCUAGUUGGUGGGGUAACGACUCACCAAGGCGACGAUCCCGAGCUGGUCUGAGAGGAUGACCACGCACACUGGAACUGAGACACGGUCCAGAGUCUGACGGGAGGCAGCCGUUGGACAUAUUGCGCAAGGGGCGCCAGCCUGAUGCAGCGGUGCUGCGUGUAGGAAGAAGGCCUGCUGGUUGGACAGUGCUUGCAACGGGGAAGGGUUACCCGCAGAAGAAGUACCGACUAACUCCGUGCCAGCAGCCGCGGUAAUAC